RNAcentral lists this ribosomal RNA (253 nucleotides) under uncultured bacterium. Its description in RNAcentral is "partial 16S ribosomal RNA". It matches the Rfam family "Bacterial small subunit ribosomal RNA", at positions 524 to 776 of the family's 1533-position model. The record is from RNAcentral.
GACGAACUGUGCGAACGUUAUUCGGAAUCACUGGGCUUACAGGGUGCGUAGGCGGCUUGUUAAGUAGGGUGUGAAAUCCCCCGGCCCAACCGGGGAAUGGCGCUCUAAACUAGCAGGCUUGAGUGAGCUAGGGGUGCACGGAACUUCCAGUGGAGCGGUGAAAUGCGUAGAGAUCCGGAGGAACACCGAAGGCGAAGGCAGUGUCCUGGCUGGUGACUGACGCUGAGGUGCGAAAGCUAGGGGAGCGAACGGG